This 1888-nucleotide long non-coding RNA is filed under the name Macaca fascicularis (crab-eating macaque). RNAcentral describes it as "lncRNA (ENSMFAG00000054238.1)". The record is from RNAcentral. Lineage: Eukaryota; Metazoa; Chordata; Mammalia; Primates; Cercopithecidae.
UUUUUUUUUUUUUUUUUUUUUUUUUUGUAUUUUUAGUAGAGAUGGGGUUUCACUGUGUUGGCCAGGAUGGUCUCAAUCUCCUGACCUCGUGAUCCACCCGUCUCAGCCUCCCAAAGUGCUGGGAUUACAGGCAUGAGCCACCGCGCCCGGCCUCCCUGAUUGUUGCUAAGUGGGUGCUUUAAAAACCUCAGUAAGAGCCUGGCACAGUGGCUCAUGCCUGUAAUCCCAGCAAUUUGGGAGACCAAGGUGGGUGGAUCACCUGAGGUCAGGAGUUCGAGACCAGCCUGGCUAAUAUAGUGAAACACCAUCUCUACUAAAAAUACAAAAAUUAGUUGGGCGUGGUGGCACACGCCUGUAAUGCCUGCUACUUGGGAGGCUGAGGCCGGAGAAUCACUUGAACCUGGGAGGCAAAGGUUGCAGUGAGCCAAGAUUGUGCCAUUGCACUCCAGCAUGAGCAACAAGAGCGAAACUCUGUAAAACAAACAAACAAACAAACAAAACCUCAGUAAGAGUGGAAGUGGUUUACAACUAUUGGUGCCAUGACAACAGAUAAAUCGGAAAAAGGGAACUUCAGGAACAAUGUGGUCGGGAUGGAGGUGUUGGAGGUUGUUUUUUCUUUUAAUUAACAAAAAAAACAGGAACACAUUUAGAAGUAAAUAGAGGGCCCAAUUUUCUCUUUUUGGUCUGAAAGGGGCUUCAAAAAAUUGUUUUCAAUGUUAAACAGAAUAGCAAUGGCAAUGAAGAUAGUGAGAAGCACAACCAUCUGUUUAGCAUGAUGUCCCCGUGGGGGCUGGGGGAGAGAUUUCCUCUAUUUACAGGGGAGACUGAGGCUCAGAAGGGUCAAGUGCCUGGCCCAGGCGCCUCGUCCUGUUAGAGGAGGGCACAGCUGAGGAGGACGGAGGCUGCAGAACCCCAGGGAGUCUCAGCUCUCCAGCCCAGGUGCAGCUGCCCCUUGGGCAGACAGCCUGGAACACAUCCGCUCAUUAGUGGCCUACCCAGGCAGCUGGCCGAGCGCCUGUCCCCGAAGGCCUUCCUGAGCUCAGAGGCUCCCCAGCCCUGGCACUGAGGGUGCAAUCCCAGAGCUGCUUUCCCAGGCUCGUUGCACAGGCAGGUGCAGCCCAGGUGUCUGACAACUUUGGCUCCAGCGUCAUGGACUCCACAUCUAAGACCUUGUGGGACACCCAGGAGUUUUGAGCUCAGCAGUGAGCUCGGAGCUUGAGCUUGGGUUGCAGAAUCCAAAAAUCAAUUAAUGUGGGGCUUCAGGGGACAUCUGUCUGACCGGUGGUUUCGUAAAAUCUUCAAUCACUGUGAGACAGAAGAUGUGUGCUGCAUGCUGUGGCUGGGGCAUGCGUGGCUGCAGCUGCCGCCAAAUAGGAAGGGCCCCCGCAGUGCCUCCAUCCUGCAGCCGUGACUUUCUUCCCAAGUGCAGUGGGGUGCGGGAGGGGGGGAGUGUCUUGGGUCAAGGGGCUCUCCAGGCAGCUCUGCCUCCUCCAUAGUCCUCCAGGCCCCCUUUACUUGAAGAAUAAGCAACUAGCCCUAUGGCAGUCAGUUCUAAGGGAGAGGGGCCUGAAGUGUCAGCAAGAGUCAGAGCCAGGCACCUGGCAGAGCCGUGAGGGGCAGAGGCAAUGGUGAUGGGAGCCAGUGAGACCAGAGCGUGUGUCAAAUCUCCCCUCUGAUCAUUUUGGAACAAGUGCAGUGAGCUGGAGUUGGAAGUGUUCCCAAAUUGCAAUCAUCUGGGGUCUUCGUCUGUCUCUUCUCCCGGUUAGUUUGGCAUCGGAUGUGAGGGAGGUGCUCUUCAUCAGUCACUGGGCUCAUGAAUGGUCCUCAUUUCCCGAAUCCUUCUGCAUCGUUCUCUGAAUUCGGCAGGGGCACGUCUCCCCGGGCUGAC